This 540-nucleotide ribosomal RNA is filed under the name Mycolicibacterium frederiksbergense. RNAcentral's name for it is "bacterial SSU rRNA". It matches the Rfam family "Bacterial small subunit ribosomal RNA", at positions 44 to 601 of the family's 1533-position model. Lineage: Bacteria; Bacillati; Actinomycetota; Actinomycetes; Mycobacteriales; Mycobacteriaceae. The record is from RNAcentral.
GUGCUUAACACAUGCAAGUCGAACGGAAAGGCCCUUCGGGGUACUCGAGUGGCGAACGGGUGAGUAACACGUGGGUGAUCUGCCCUGCACUUUGGGAUAAGCCUGGGAAACUGGGUCUAAUACCGAAUAUGACCAUGCACUUCCUGGUGUGUGGUGGAAAGCUUUUGCGGUGUGGGAUGGGCCCGCGGCCUAUCAGCUUGUUGGUGGGGUAAUGGCCUACCAAGGCGACGACGGGUAGCCGGCCUGAGAGGGUGACCGGCCACACUGGGACUGAGAUACGGCCCAGACUCCUACGGGAGGCAGCAGUGGGGAAUAUUGCACAAUGGGCGCAAGCCUGAUGCAGCGACGCCGCGUGAGGGAUGACGGCCUUCGGGUUGUAAACCUCUUUCAGCACAGACGAAGCGCAAGUGACGGUAUGUGCAGAAGAAGGACCGGCCAACUACGUGCCAGCAGCCGCGGUAAUACGUAGGGUCCGAGCGUUGUCCGGAAUUACUGGGCGUAAAGAGCUCGUAGGUGGUUUGUCGCGUUGUUCGUGAAAUC